GCUGCCCCUGUGUGGCCACAUGCACGAACUACACUCUCGUCUCUGCCUGACCUGAUUCUGGGGAAAGGCACGUUUUCAGAGGCUGUUGAUUUCUUCAGCACUGUUUUGCAGUUCUACGACUUAGCUCCUAAAAAAUCACAGAAUCGUCCGGCGCCCACUGGGAGCCUUGGAACUUAUGCCCCUCCGAUAUCAGGGGACAACUGUAUCUCCUAAUCAAGAAGGUAUUGCUAAGUUCACUAAAUGAAUCACAAUUGAAGCCAAAAUAAAGAAUUUUAAACCAUGCCCUGAACUUUAAAAGGACCCUUUAGUAUACUCACAAAGGACCACAAGUCUGAUGGAUGAAGGAUUCUAGUUAGCAAGACAGACUCCAUAUUGCUGCUGAAUGACCCACCUGCCUGUCCCUUUAGAUGAACUCAAAAGGAGGAAGCUUAGAAACCUCCUCCCCUUAGAGAGUCUCUUAGAAACAAAAAUUAAUCAACUAUUGUUUUACAAAUGUUAUAACGACAGGAUGUUCCCCUCUAUACCUUUUGCUUGCUUUGCUAGUUCUAUCCCAUAGGGGGGCCUAGAAACCGUUGGCCUCAAAGGUGUAUAAAAUAUGUUAAUCGAGCCCCGACUGGGGGCUGGAGUCCGAUGCUCGGCUGGGGUCCGGC
This 650-nucleotide long non-coding RNA is filed under the name Heterocephalus glaber (naked mole-rat). Its description in RNAcentral is "lncRNA (ENSHGLG00000027921.2)". Lineage: Eukaryota; Metazoa; Chordata; Mammalia; Rodentia; Bathyergidae. The record is from RNAcentral.